GCGCCUUGUGAGCGCGUUUGGAUCCGCGAAGGAAAUCGCUCGGAUGUUCCCCUAACCCAACCCGGGAACGGACCGGAGGGAACCGCAGCAUGGGGAAUGUCCGCGUCUCGUCGCAAGGCUCAUUUUGAGUUGUGGGUCAUAGGGCGGGCAGCUUUAUCUGAUCAAGGGCCGGGGCACAAGGGUCCUAGUACUAUCCAGGUGCGAAGAAGCCCGGAGGUGACUGUAAUGAGCAGAAAUCUCACUCACCGGCCUAAACGACGAGCAAACACUCGAACGUGAGAGCAAGGGAUCACCCAACGAAUGGACGAGCUCAAAGGGGGGAGGAGAGAGGGGGGCAAGAACCAUGUUUUCAGAGAAGUGGCGGUCCGAAUCUUAUCUGAACUGCGAGAAUAACUGACUAAGCCGUGCCAUAAGGGGUCAUUCUCCAAACGGGACGCCUUUAGGUUGUUAAAGUAGGUUGGGUGACAGAUCGGCCAUAGGAGUACUCCGGGAUAUAAACCAGGGCAACAAAAGUGGAGCAUACGGCGAUGCCGCCCGUUUUCAUUUCGUGGAAGUCCCCGGCAGAGGAAAGGGCUGUAGGUGAUGGCGCGUUCUGCUUCUUAUCUAGAGAGGGGCGCUGAAAUCCUUUCUAUGGGCUCGUGCGUGGCAGCUGGUAUAGAUGAAGAAAGGCGGACCGCUUGAACGGGACCUAUUCUCUUAAUAGGCGGCAAAGCGGAAUAGAAAAGCACGGACGAGCCACAUGCAGGGAAACUUGCACGUGUGGUUCUGGCCGGGGACCCCGGU
This 783-nucleotide long non-coding RNA is filed under the name Helianthus annuus (common sunflower). The record is from RNAcentral. Lineage: Eukaryota; Viridiplantae; Streptophyta; Magnoliopsida; Asterales; Asteraceae.